UUGGAGGGCAAGUCUGGUGCCAGCAGCCGCGGUAAUUCCAGCUCCAAUAGCGUAUAUUAAAGUUGUUGCAGUUAAAAAGCUCGUAGUUGAAUUUCGGGAUCAGAUUGUCGGUCGUGCCUCGGUACGCACUGGCAUUAUUGGUUCCUACCUUCUGAAGAACCGCGAUGUCAUUAAUUUGGUGUCGUGGGGAAUCAGGACUGUUACUUUGAAAAAAUUAGAGUGUUUAAAGCAGGCGCACGCUUGAAUACAUUAGCAUGGAAUAAUGAAAUAGGACGUUUGAUUCUAUUUUGUUGGUUUCUAGGAUCGACGUAAUGAUUAAUAGGGAUAGUUGGGGGCAUUAGUAUUCAAUUGACAGAGGUGAAAUUCUUGGAUUUAUUGAAGACUAACUACUGCGAAAGCAUUUGCCAAGGAUGUUUUCAUUAAUCAAGAACGAAAGUUAGGGGAUCGAAGACGAUCAGAUACCGUCGUAGUCUUAACCAUAAACUAUGCCGACUAGGAAUCGGAUGAUGUUAAUUUUUUAAUGACUCAUUCGGCGCCUUACGGGAAAC
RNAcentral lists this ribosomal RNA (548 nucleotides) under uncultured Glomeromycotina. RNAcentral's name for it is "SSU rRNA". It matches the Rfam family "Eukaryotic small subunit ribosomal RNA", at positions 548 to 1098 of the family's 1831-position model. The record is from RNAcentral. Lineage: Eukaryota; Fungi; Glomeromycota.